This 88-nucleotide transfer RNA is filed under the name Cyanobacteria bacterium HKST-UBA03. RNAcentral describes it as "tRNA-Ser". It matches the Rfam family "tRNA". Rfam says of the family: Transfer RNA (tRNA) molecules are approximately 80 nucleotides in length. Their secondary structure includes four short double-helical elements and three loops (D, anti-codon, and T loops). Further hydrogen bonds mediate the characteristic L-shaped molecular structure. tRNAs have two regions of fundamental functional importance: the anti-codon, which is responsible for specific mRNA codon recognition, and the 3' end, to which the tRNAs corresponding amino acid is attached (by aminoacyl-tRNA synthetases). tRNAs cope with the degeneracy of the genetic code in two manners: having more than one tRNA (with a specific anti-codon) for a particular amino acid; and 'wobble' base-pairing, i.e. permitting non-standard base-pairing at the 3rd anti-codon position. Lineage: Bacteria; Bacillati; Cyanobacteriota. RNAcentral also lists the same sequence under 1 other name. The record is from RNAcentral.
GGACAGGUGUCCGAGUGGUCUAUGGUACAGUCCUGGAAAGACUGUGUGGUUAACGCCACCGUGGGUUCGAAUCCCACCCUGUCCGCCA